GAGCGUCGCAGCUGCCUCCACAUGCAGUCGAGCGGUAGCACAGAGAGCUUGCUCUCGGGUGACGAGCGGCGGACGGGUGAGUAAUGUCUGGGAAACUGCCUGAUGGAGGGGGAUAACUACUGGAAACGGUAGCUAAUACCGCAUAACGUCGCAAGACCAAAGUGGGGGACCUUCGGGCCUCAUGCCAUCAGAUGUGCCCAGAUGGGAUUAGCUAGUAGGUGGGGUAACGGCUCACCUAGGCGACGAUCCCUAGCUGGUCUGAGAGGAUGACCAGCCACACUGGAACUGAGACACGGUCCAGACUCCUACGGGAGGCAGCAGUGGGGAAUAUUGCACAAUGGGCGCAAGCCUGAUGCAGCCAUGCCGCGUGUGUGAAGAAGGCCUUCGGGUUGUAAAGCACUUUCAGCGGGGAGGAAGGCGUUAAGGUUAAUAACCUUGUCGAUUGACGUUACCCGCAGAAGAAGCACCGGCUAACUCCGUGCCAGCAGCCGCGGUAAUACGGAGGGUGCAAGCGUUAAUCGGAAUUACUGGGCGUAAAGCGCACGCAGGCGGUCUGUCAAGUCGGAUGUGAAAUCCCCGGGCUCAACCUGGGAACUGCAUUCGAAACUGGCAGGCUAGAGUCUUGUAGAGGGGGGUAGAAUUCCAGGUGUAGCGGUGAAAUGCGUAGAGAUCUGGAGGAAUACCGGUGGCGAAGGCGGCCCCCUGGACAAAGACUGACGCUCAGGUGCGAAAGCGUGGGGAGCAAACAGGAUUAGAUACCCUGGUAGUCCACGCCGUAAACGAUGUCGAUUUGGAGGUUGUGCCCUUGAGGCGUGGCUUCCGGAGCUAACGCGUUAAAUCGACCGCCUGGGGAGUACGGCCGCAAGGUUAAAACUCAAAUGAAUUGACGGGGGCCCGCACAAGCGGUGGAGCAUGUGGUUUAAUUCGAUGCAACGCGAAGAACCUUACCUGGUCUUGACAUCCACAGAACUUUCCAGAGAUGGAUUGGUGCCUUCGGGAACUGUGAGACAGGUGCUGCAUGGCUGUCGUCAGCUCGUGUUGUGAAAUGUUGGGUUAAGUCCCGCAACGAGCGCAACCCUUAUCCUUUGUUGCCAGCGGUUAGGCCGGGAACUCAAAGGAGACUGCCAGUGAUAAACUGGAGGAAGGUGGGGAUGACGUCAAGUCAUCAUGGCCCUUACGACCAGGGCUACACACGUGCUACAAUGGCAUAUACAAAGAGAAGCGACCUCGCGAGAGCAAGCGGACCUCAUAAAGUAUGUCGUAGUCCGGAUUGGAGUCUGCAACUCGACUCCAUGAAGUCGGAAUCGCUAGUAAUCGUAGAUCAGAAUGCUACGGUGAAUACGUUCCCGGGCCUUGUACACACCGCCCGUCACACCAUGGGAGUGGGUUGCAAAAGAAGUAGGUAGCUUAACCUUCGGGAGGGCGCUUACCACUUUGUGAUUCAUGACUGGGGGAAGUCGAAAAGAGAAAGUUAGGCC
RNAcentral lists this ribosomal RNA (1478 nucleotides) under Klebsiella pneumoniae. Its description in RNAcentral is "bacterial SSU rRNA". It matches the Rfam family "Bacterial small subunit ribosomal RNA". The record is from RNAcentral. Lineage: Bacteria; Pseudomonadati; Pseudomonadota; Gammaproteobacteria; Enterobacterales; Enterobacteriaceae.